CCUACGGGUGGCAGCAGUGAGGAAUAUUGGUCAAUGGCCGAGAGCCUGAACCAGCCAAGUCGCGUGAAGGAUGACGGCCCUACGGGUUGUAAACUUCUUUUGUCGGGGAGCAAAGCGAACCACGUGUAGUUCAUUGAGUGUACCCGAAGAAAAAGCAUCGGCUAACUCCGUGCUAGAAGCCGCGGUAAUACGGAGGAUGCGAGCGUUAUCCGGAUUUAUUGGGUUUAAGGGGUGAGCAGGCGGUGGUGCAAGUCAGGUGUAAAAUUGCGGGGCUAAACCCCGUAUUGCCGUUGAAACUAGAACCCUAGAGUACGGUAGAGGUAUGCGGAAUUCGUGGUGUAGCGGUGAAAUGCAUAGAUAUCACGAAGAACUCCGAUUGCGAAGGCAGCCUACCGGAGCGAAACUGACGCUCAUGCACGAAAGCGUGGGUAUCAAACAGGAUUAGAUACCCGAGUAGUC
This 459-nucleotide ribosomal RNA is filed under the name uncultured bacterium. RNAcentral describes it as "partial 16S ribosomal RNA". It matches the Rfam family "Bacterial small subunit ribosomal RNA", at positions 338 to 795 of the family's 1533-position model. The record is from RNAcentral.